This 253-nucleotide ribosomal RNA is filed under the name uncultured bacterium. RNAcentral describes it as "partial 16S ribosomal RNA". It matches the Rfam family "Bacterial small subunit ribosomal RNA", at positions 524 to 776 of the family's 1533-position model. The record is from RNAcentral.
GACGUAGGGCGCGAGCGUUGUCCGGAUUUAUUGGGCGUAAAGAGCUCGUAGGCGGCUUGUCGCGUCGUCCGUGAAAACUUGGGGCUCAACCCCAAGCUUGCGGUCGAUACGGGCAGGCUAGAGUUCGGUAGGGGAGACUGGAAUUCCUGGUGUAGCGGUGAAAUGCGCAGAUAUCAGGAGGAACACCGGUGGCGAAGGCGGCAUCCUGGACCGACAUUGACGCUGAGGAGCGAAAGCUAGGGGAGCAAACGGG